CAGCCGCCGCGGUAAUACAGAGGGUGCGAGCGUUAAUCGGAUUUACUGGGCGUAAAGCGUGCGUAGGCGGCUUUUUAAGUCGGAUGUGAAAUCCCUGAGCUUAACUUAGGAAUUGCAUUCGAUACUGGGAAGCUAGAGUAUGGGAGAGGAUGGUAGAAUUCCAGGUGUAGCGGUGAAAUGCGUAGAGAUCUGGAGGAAUACCGAUGGCGAAGGCAGCCAUCUGGCCUAAUACUGACGCUGAGGUACGAAAGCAUGGGGAGUAAACAGGAUUAGAUACCCCGGUAGUCCCUGUCUCUUAUAA
Molecule: ribosomal RNA, 301 nt
Filed under: uncultured bacterium
Lineage: Bacteria
Description: partial 16S ribosomal RNA
Rfam family: Bacterial small subunit ribosomal RNA
Source: RNAcentral